Molecule: ribosomal RNA, 510 nt
Filed under: uncultured bacterium
Lineage: Bacteria
Description: bacterial SSU rRNA
Rfam family: Bacterial small subunit ribosomal RNA
Source: RNAcentral
GGUUCAGGAUGAACGCUGGCGGCGUGCUUAACACAUGCAAGUCGAACGGAGUAUUGACGCUGAGGAGUGGAGAGCUUGCUCAAAGCAAAUCUUGUCGAUACUUAGUGGCGGACGGGUGAGUAACGCGUGGGUAACCUGCCGUAUGCAGGGGGACAACAGUUGGAAACGACUGCUAAUACCGCAUAUGCACACAGUAAGGCAUCUUACAGGGUGGAAAGAAUUUCGGCAUACGAUGGACCCGCGUCUGAUUAGCUAGUUGGUGAGGUAACGGCCCACCAAGGCGACGAUCAGUAGCCGGCCUGAGAGGGUGAACGGCCACAUUGGGACUGAGACACGGCCCAAACUCCUACGGGAGGCAGCAGGUGGGGAAUAUUGCACAAUGGGGGAAACCCUGAUGCCAGCGACGCCGCGUGAGUGAAGAAGUAUUUCGGUAUGUAAAGCUCUAUCAGCAGGGAAGAAAAUGACGGUACCUGACUAAGAAGCCCCGGCUAACUACGUGCCAGCAGCCGC